Taeniopygia guttata (zebra finch) is the source of this 7324-nucleotide non-coding RNA. The record is from RefSeq and is a predicted model, not a curated record. Lineage: Eukaryota; Metazoa; Chordata; Aves; Passeriformes; Estrildidae.
GUCCUGUCCUGGGGGAACAGGGAAGAAGGGACGGCGGCGAGACCAUGGCUAGAAGUAGAGGCGAAAGGUGGCCCUAGGGUAGCGACGUCUUUCCCCCGGAGCCGGGAAAGGAGGACAGGGCAGCCGGCUUUGUCAGGUGGCCUCGGGGAAGGCUCGUCUGCUUCUCGCCGCCGGGGCCGCCUCGGCACGGCCCGUCUGUUCCUUGGGGAGGAGGCAGGGAAGAGAGCCGAGCUCGUCCCGUGCCGAGGACAGCGGGGCUUAGGUACAGCAACUUGCGGGCAGGAUACCACCCUCGCCGGCGGAACCGGGGCGUGAAAACGGAGGCGGCGGCGGCGCGGCCCGGCCGGGAGGGUGUGGGGCUGCUGCCGCCCCGGGGCGGUGUCGCCGGUGACAGGUGCGAUUCUGCCUCCCGUGUCGGCCCCGUAGCGGGCGCGUCACCGGGGCCGGGCGGCACCACCCAGCGCCAGGCGUACCCGAGUCCCCCGAAAAUGUCCCGCCGGGGGUUGCGGGACGGGAGGCGGGUAGAGGAGCUGCUCCGAUCCGGGAAGCCCAUGGUGUCGGAGGGGCGGAAAGGGUGCGCGGGGCCGCAGGGCUGCGGGGAGCCGGUUGUGCCGGCCGGACCCCCCGGGGAGGCCGGCGAGCAGGCAAGAAUGACACCGCUAUAAAAGGCAGUGCUCCUCCGGUGCUGUGCUGCUGGGUGGCGGCACAGGGCAGGGAUGGGAGAAGCGGCACGGAAGCCCGUGUUAAGGGGUGUCGCUCCCUCGGCUGAGGCGGGGAAGCAGCGGCUCUCGGGCGCUGCCGGGCUGGGAAGCCGGGCUGGGCGCGGAGGAUCGGGAAGGGAAGGGUGGGAGCCUGUUGACAGGCUGCCGGGAUGAAAAAAAAUGGAGGCUGCCUUUUCCCUCGGUGUUUACUCUCGGCACGCAACCGGGAGGGAAGGACGGCUGCGCCCGCCGCCGAGACCCUGUCCCCGGGGGCAUAGCGGCGGGGAAGGCAGCACUGCCCGGGCCGCACGGACCUCCAGUCGGCGGGGACGGAGCCCUGCCGGCAGCCUGGGCGGUGGCGGCUACGGAGCCUCCCCCCGUGCCGGCUGCCCCCCUCGAGCGGCGGCGGCUCCUCCCCUCCGUCCGCUCCGGCGGCUCCGCGCCCCCAGGGCAGCGGCCGGGCUGAGCUGGGCAUUUGCUCUUUUUGGGUGCCUAAAAAGGAGCGACGAGCAAGGGAAAUGCAGACUCACCGCGGGAAAGAUGAGGGGGUUGGCCGAUUUCGUGUGUAAAAAAUAAUUAUGGCAAUAGUAAUAAUAGUAGUAAAAGCUGUGUUCACUGGGUUUUUAAGGAAAGUCCGCGAGGGAAGUGGGGAGCGGUGUAAUCAGUGCUACUUGUGGUCGGUGGUGCUGCUCAGUGUGAUUUCAUGAGGGUGAAGGAGGAGGUGUGAUUUCUAGCAGGCAUCCUUGAAGCAGUGCUGGGAGCUUCAUUUAUGUGGAUAUAGGGUCCAACAGGGGGCUGGGUCCCCUCUGGAGGGCUUGAUGCUCCCGAGGCAACCUGUUUAAGAUGACAGCCAUUGAGUGUGAAACUCCUUGUCAGGAUGCUGGUCUUGGUGGCUUUUAUAAUGGAAAAAGGACUGAGCUUUAUCGUUCCCAGGAAAAAAAUCCCGAUGAAAGCAAAAUGACAAAACAGUAGGCUUACACACAGUAGUCUGCCUAGUGUAGUUACAAAUGGGUGCUUGUGUAAUAAUCUUGCAGUUUUGGAACACUCUGCCAGCUGUAUUAAUAAUCAACUUCUGCAUUUAUGUGUGGGUUGAGGGAUGCUACAGCUAGUAAGCUCAUAAGUGGUGCAGUGAUCACUUCUGAUGCUGAUAACUUCUGGUAACAGAGAAGUUGCAUUGAGCUCAGUCUUGAAACAUCUGAAAAUCUUAAAGUAGAAGGACAUGCUUAUCAAAAAACUCUUAGAGCAUAUUUGACAACUGGCAUUCUCAUUUCCAUAUUUACGUGUGAAGGUUAUCUUGUCCAGCCUGGGCUCUAACAUACACUGGAAAAUGUUCUGGCAUCUCCUAUGUGUGUCUGGCAUUAAGAAGUGCUCUUUGAAUUCCACCUCUGUGCAUGAUCCACUCUUCUAUAAGGAGAGGGUCUAUUAAGAGAUUUCCGGUGCUUCCCUUUGUUUGAACAACAGGCACUUUUUUUUUUUCAGUAGAACACAAAGGGCGCAGAGAUCAAUGAACAAGGAAAAAACUUUAGCACACUUAGGAGCAGACAAAAUAUUAUUGUCUUUACAGAAUUUACAAUGACAAAUGUUUCUUUUUUUCCUGUCACUUGCAGAGAAUAUUAGCAAAGCUCUAGCUGUUAUUAAAAAGAGAAAAUGAGUAAAAGUGUUGCAGUGUUUUCCAGGAGGGAAAAAAAAAAUACCCCAACAACAAAAAGCCUGCCUAAACAAUCAGUUCUAAUCUUGGGUUGGUUAAAUUGGUCAGUAGAGCUGCCAAGUGGGGUUAUUGGCUUUCCUCCUGUCCUUUUGUAAGACUAAGCUUGAAGUAGAAUUAAAGUAGCCUGAAGAAUGGAGUUUCAUUAUUUGGAAGAUUUUGUUAGGAUAUUGAACAGCAGCUAGGUUCACAUCACUUGAUGUGUGCACAUUUCCAGUUUUCACUUUGGUUAUGUAAAUGUAAACUCACUCUUGAGUUGUUGGGGAAAUAAAGUUGCAGUUGAAAUGUGAGGAAAGCAGCUGAACUGGAAGUGAGGUGGUGGCAGUAGGAACACAUAAAGACUGUGUGUCUUGAAUGUGAAUGAGGAAUCCCUUUAUUGGAAUUGGAAGAAAUUGAGGCAGCUUACUUUCUGUUACAUAUUUGGUAUCGAAAUAUCAUUGUUUGAGGUUGAAAAGAAAAGAAUACCUUGUUAGGUCUGUCACCUUUGUGGCAGGAUUAACAGUAAAAGAAGGAGAGUUGGGGGCCAGGCAAAGUGAUUACAUUUUUAGGGAGAAAACUGUGGUUUUAGGAAGUGUCUUUCUGUCCUGUAUAUAAGUUGGAGAUUAGAAAUGACUGUGAAACUGAGAGAAGCAUAUGUUUUGAACUAUAAAUGUAUAGACAAUUGUCCUUAUUUUUUUUUUUUUUUUUAAUUAAAGUGCACUGUUGUGACUUGAAAGGACUGGUAAAGUGUUUUGGAGUUAUGAAAAAAGACUGCUACCAUACAAAAACCCAGUAGCGCAGAGUCUAAAACGUAGAGUGGUGUUAGUAAAUGUUUUAAGUAUACAAGAUCUAUUUUUUAUGAAAAGUUAUUAAGAUAAACCUUUUCAAAAUGUGUUCUAAGUUUCAACCUAAAAUUCUGUGUAUCUGAAAGGUGUGAAAACAUCUGACGAGUAAAGUUGAAUUUGAGGGAGUGCCAUCAAGUUAUGGCUUACAGGGCAGUAACAUACAGAGGUGUGGUUUGGUUGUUGUUGGUUUCAUCUUCAUCUUUGCAGCUGUGAGUGCUCAAUACUUAGGUAAGAGGACUCAACUGACAUCUUCAGGAUGCAAGAAUAAGGGCUGUCUGUUAAGUUUAAAUCAUAUUAUUAUAAGAGUGUUUUCGAAACGAAAGUAUUUUUGCUAGUUGAAGUUUGUGAAUUUAGUUUUUUAGACAUAAAGAACAAAAGUUUUUUCAUCCAAGUAAAAGACAAAUGUUGAUGUUAGUCAAACUUUUAGUAAUUAAAAUUACCCUUUUGGUAUGAUGGAGAUACCUGUGAAUACAAAAGUUUGCAGAGAAAAAGGCUUGUAAGCACUUCAGUCAACCCUUGGCUAGACAGUGUAGGGAGUGUCUUUAUAGAUUACUCUGAUAAGUCUUCGUGGAAAAAAACCAACCAACUGAUAACUCUUCUUUUGUGACACGAAAAUGUAUGUAGUUACUUCCUGUAAGAUACAUUUUUUAUGAGCGGCCUCUACAAACUGUAGUAACUUCAUUCAUUUAUGGACAAACAAUACAGUUUUCAAAGCCGUUGAGGAGAUUAGCAUUGUCACCACCUGUUUAUGUGAACACUUUCCACAUGUCUGGGAGGAGCACAAUUUGCAUACUGAGCAAUGAGGAGGGUCUGGUUGGAGGAACAAAAGUGUUUGAAAAACAAAGGAAAAACAAGGGGCCCCAAAAGUCUUGUCAUUAAGGUGAAUAACUGUUCAGGCUUUUCCAGGUCAAAUCUGAACAUAGUUUUUAAUUGUACUUCAUUCCUUGAGAUGGGAAAACAAAAAAGGGGAGGAUUUUCCAUCUAAAACCUAAUCUACACAGGUAGCAGCAGUCCUUUCUCAGGAGAAGGAGUAAGUCUGAGAUGAAUGUGGGUCUGGAGGAAGUGGAUGUUCCAAGUAGAGAGUUCAGUGUGCCACUUCUCUCAAGGUGAAGUUAGAGAACAGGCUGGUAGCCAGAAUAGCUUUAAAUAGCACUUGGUUCUAAUGUUGUACACUUAGUGUAUCCUGCUUGUGCAUGUGUUUCUUAAUGUAAGCUUAAUGAUAAAAGAAUUUAAAACUUUGGUUUGAGAUAUUUGUGCUUAGUUACCAAAAUGAACAUAUGAGUAUUUUAGGAAUGCUGAGAUGUGUUGUGAUUGUGGUCAUUUGGAAGCUUCUGCAAGCACUAGUAACUUGAGAUUUUGAUCAGUCUGGGUUUGACUAAGUCUGCCUAUAGCAACCUAUGCUGAUAGUCGCUUGAAUAGUUGAGACCUUAGAAGAAGUACUAAUAAGUGUCAUGAAAAUAUGAUUGAUUUUCUUAUUUUUCUUUUAAAUAAUGAUCUUGUUUACUUAGUUUUCAUUAAAUUCACUUAAUACUGUAAAGAUAAAAGCUAGCAUUUAGGAAUGUGUUAUUUCAAGUUUAAAAGGAGGACUUAUGUUUUAUUUCUUCCUGAUUAUAUUGCUUUAUAUACUGUUGCCUUGCUUGCUUUAUAUUAGUAUCCUGUGUGAUAGUGGCUGGGAUAAUUGACUGCAUGUAGUAGACAGCAUUAAAAAUGCUAUCAUAGUAAGGAAAGGAGAGAGGGUUGGGAAAGAUUACAUGGUAAAGAAAAGGCAAGCGUAUUAUUAAAAGGCAGCAGUUUUUUUUCAAGAAUACUACUAAUAAAAACACAAUAUCAUUUAGAUCAUGGGCAAACUGACUUGCAAGGUAGGCAUCAAUUGUGGAAAAAAAAGCCAAAUUUCCAUCUGAAAACCAUGAAGCAGAACACACUAUCUGUAAAGUUAUGAUGGAUGACUCUUCUUAGGAAGGCACUAUCUCCUGGUGAUGUGUAGUAGCAACUUACAGAGAAGGUAGUCAGAAUUGUGAUUGUUGCUUACUUGGCAUGCCAGUUGGAGCAGCUGGAGAGUUGUUUUGAGUGUCUAACAGGAAUAAUCUAAUAGCCAAGCCAAAAGUGAAGUUUUGCCAGGCAGCACUGGUGGUAGCUCACAUGACAGUUCCCUGCUGUCCUCUGCAUAUACUGGUUCUUGGCCCUGUGGCUGUCAGGAGCUGAGAUGUGUUUUAAGAAUUGGUGGGCAUGCAGAGGAUGUAAAGCAUGAAACAAGUUGUCCAUUCUUUCAUGUGACUUAGAGUGAUGACAGCAUUUGUAUUAAGUAAAUAAACACAACAAAAAUUCACAGUGUUGUGUAAACUUUUCAAGAAUCUGUUACUUCCUGCUUUGAGUUGCAUUAGCAAAUGAGAAGGUUGCAGCAGUAUUGGUGUCAUUAGUGCCAGUUGACCUGGGCUGAAGAAGUGGGCUCUUUUGUGAAGGUCUGAUCCAAUUCAGAAAUAGCCAUUUUAAUUAUAUGGUUGAAGCAAGGUGGUGUGUAUGUGUGUGUAAAUGAUAUUUUGAAAAAUACCAUAGAAAAAUACCACAACUUGAUAGUUUCUGAUGAGCAUAUAUAGAGCAAAAAUAACUGCAGAAACAAUGAAAUUACAAUGGAGAAGUUAGGCUGAAAAAUAGCAUUGUUGAGUUGACAUUCCCUGGAACAAUGAAGAUGAGGAUAGAGAGUUUCAGUGUGAAAUGCAGCAGCUGUUGUGCAGUUUGGCUUAGUGUGUAACAGCCAAGCUUCUCUCUGGAUAGACAAGGACAGAUCAAAUUAGAGGGUAGGUUGUGUUUGAAGCAGUUGGAGGCAGAAGUUAGGAAUAUUUCUAAGAGAGGACAGAGGGCAAUUACUGGUAACAUAGCUGCCAGCUGAGAAACUAAAUGCACAUUUGGAGUGGAAGGUAAAUGGGAGUUAGAGAAAAGCCAGGUCCAUUCUUGGAAGGAGUGCAUUCGAGCUGGCAUGAAGUGCUGAAGCAGGAAGAGACUUGGUACAGCCGAGGCUUUCAUCAGUUGUGGAGCUUAGUCACUAUGUAGAUGGAUAAUAAAUGUUUCUUAUAGAAAUGAUGUGUCUCCAGUUGAAUGUGUCCCACAGCAACCUAACAAAAAAGGUGUGAAUUUUAACCUAAAAUAUCACAUGACUUCCAAGAGUUUUUGCAUGUAAAAUCACUGUCUAGGUAAAUAAAAUCUAAAUAAAGACUGGAAAGACUUUCCUUACCCAAAUAUACAGAGAAAAAUAUUAAUGUUUCUCUACUCCUUUUCAAUUGAAAAUAAAAACUUAAAUAAUUCUAGUGUCAAAAAAAUGUAGACUGGUAGGUCAGUUUAAUGUGGUGAAAUUGCAUAGUGAUUUUUGGUCUGCAUCUUGAAGAAGGAGAUAAAAUCAUGGAAAUAGCUGUUCAUGGUCAGCAAAAGUGUUAAAAUAAUAAAGACACAUUGAAAUUUUGGACAUGCAGUGGUGGUUGAAGGAAAGUCAGUGAUAAGUUUGAAAAGAACAGAGGAAACAAUUUUUUCUGCUUGAUAUUGGUAAGAAAUUUAAUCUUAAAAAAAAAAAAAAAAAGCUAUGAGGUAAAAAAACCCCGUGAAGGUCACAGCAGGCUAUUUUAAUUUAAUGACUAAGAUGGUUAUAUCUAUUUGUUGUUCUUAUGAAGAAAUUUGCCUGAUUUGGAGAAGGAUCUUUGUUUAACUUAACAUUUUUCUUGGUGCGCUAAAAUCAAAAGUAGACUACUGGUGAAGUAAUACUGAUGAUCUGCAAAGCUGAGUCAUACUCCUUCAGGAAGGAUACUGCUGUUUUGAGAAAACAGAUCACUUACCCGGUAGUGAGGAGUAGGAAUUGAAAUGACAGGGAACAACUCAAGUGCUUUUAGCAGUAGACACUACAGUACAUUAAAGCAUCUGAUUUUCAGCCUCUAGAGUAGGUUGUUGUAUGGGUACACAAAGAGGAGGGUCAUAAAUGAGUUGUGUCCACAAAGUUUCACAAAACAGUCUGAGUGACAAGACUCUGCUCUAAAGAUACAAAGCCCGUUCCAGUAGUUUCUCUGCCAAGUAGCUGCUCUAAGUAAUGAAAUAGCCUAACUGCACAUUUG